ACAAAUCGUAUUUAAUCUUAAUUUUGAUCCAACAUCAUUGCCCAAACCCACAUUUUGGCACUAAAAAGCUAAAGACUGACCUAAAAGAGCAGACACCAGAUUCUUAAUCAUUCUUUUACCAUUCACACAGUCGAAACCACAACCACAGGUCGGACUCUCAUCGAAAUUACUCACCGGAAAGUUUGCGGAGGCGAUGCCGACCGAGAGUUCUAGCUCAUCGUCGUCACGAGUCACUGAGACAAGGCUCAGCCACAGAAAGAGCACCCUAACUUCGAUGCCACUCAAGCUAGAGAUCUUGUCAGUGGUUACAACACCGGUUAUGGUGGACUUGUACUUCAGCUUAUACGAGUCGAUGGUAAAUCUACAAGUGCUGUUCAAGUAGACUGAGAGCUCACUACGUCUUUGGGGAGUACGCCCUAAAUUAAUAAAAAAUAACUGCAUUUUCUCCCUCACUUGAGCCAAUUGAACAUACAUUAUCAUUAAAUCAUUAAUUUUCCACAACAAAACAUGUCACAGACGCAUGAACGAAAAUUAUUGAAAAGCAUAAAAUUCAUAAUCUUUAAGAAAUCAAGGUGUGAAGUUGUGAACAGACACUACCCGUAAUUCCAAACCCCUAAAACCCUCCCUCCUCUACGGCCCCAAUUCCCAAUUCAAAUCGAAGAAACAAGAGGCAUUUUAAUCUUCCUUACUUGUCCGCCAUUGACGCAAUCCAACCCGCACCCGCACUGCGGGCACUCGUAAAAAUUGUCGAUCGGAAACGCCGCCGACGCGAUCCCCACCGAGAACUCGAGGUUGUCGCCGCUCCGGGUCACCUCGACGAUGUCGAGCCACAGGAACAGGACCUUGACGCUGACCCCGGUCAGCGAGGAGAGCUUGUUCGGGGAGAUUGUGCCGGUAAUGGUGGACUUGUACUUGAGCUGGUACGAGCCUUCCAGCGAGAAGCUGCAGGAGCCGUUCAAAUACGCGCGGAAUCGGCCGUUGCCAUUGUCGAGCUCGUAUCCGGUGACGCCCUUCGGGAGCAGACCCAUCGGAAAGUUGAAUUCUUCGAUUGCAUCGUACACAGACCGCGAGCCGUCGCCGUUGGCGGAGGCGGUUGAUGACGUGUAGAACGGUGAUAGGAGGACGAAGACGGCGAGAAUUGUUGCGAGAGACAUGAUUUUUUCUCUCUCUCUCUCUCCGAAAUUUUGUUUUGUUGUUUUGUUUUUCCGGGAAAGUAGCUUUGUUUGGCACAGAAAGUCGGUUGGUUGUGAGUUGACUGAUAGCGGUGGACAAGAUAAAUUUGGUUGGUAGAAACGACGACGUAGAAAGGAAUUUGAAAUUUGUUAGUGGGCACGUGGUGUGGUGACCAUUGCGGUUAUAAGAAAGACGCGCUAAGAGCAAGUCCAUCCCUAAGGACUUUGUGCCAGCACAUAGCGCAUUUAUCUACUCAAUUGAACAGUAAUAGACUCCAGUGAACAAUAAUAGACCAAAGCAUCUCCGCCCCUAAAAAUACGCUGGCACCCAGUCUAUCUAAUAUUAUAUUAUUUUAUUCAUAUCAAUUAAUAUUUUAUCAUUUAUUUUAUUUUUUAUUUUUUAUUUUUUCUUCCUUUCCCUCUCCGAUCCUUUCUUUCUCUCUCUCUCUCCCUCUCUCUCUUUUCCAACUCACUCUCAUGAGCUCUCCUUCUCCUUCCUCUUCAAAACCUUCCAUUUCUGCACGCCAUCCACCCCUGCAUCUCCGACGCCAUCCACCCCUGCAUCUCCGACGUCGUCGACGCCAUCCUCCUGCAUCUCCACACCUCCGAUGCCGUCGUUUCGUCCUCCCGUCGUUCUCCCUCCGUGGUUCCUUCCCUCUCGACAUCUUCUCCCGCCUCGACCAGCUCCGCUCCUCAGCCUCCACAACAACUCCCUCUCUGACGUCAUAUGCCCUCCGACGCCACACUGACGUCAGAUAGGCCGGUCCCAAGGUCUGUCGAUUUUAGGUCGGCCUGUGGACUGGCUUGGGCUGGGUGCAAGUCGAUUUCACAGGCUGGAGUGAAUUGACAGGGUGCUAGCCUGGUUUUUUGACUGGGUGUUGGGCUCUCUUCUUCCUGGUGGACUUGCUCUAAGGAACGAGCAUCCUCACCGGAUUCUCUUUAUGAUUAUCUUGAAAGUCUUGAAUUUGAAUCUGUUUAUCAUACAUUGUGAGGUUAAUUUAGUCAAAUACUAUUUAUAUUUAAUUUUAAAUAAAAAUAUUUAAAAUAAUAUCUGACACACGAUAUACAAUAAAUAAACAUGAUUUAAAAAUCUCUAGAACCUUCGUAAUGAAAUUUAUUCUCUGACCUUGUUUUUUCCCUCCCCCCCCUGUUUUAUAAUCAAGGAAAGUAAACCGUGGACCAACCAUCCGAUUUUCAAUUUUGGACACAAGAUUUACAGAUUUAAGAGAAAAAUUUAGGGCCUGUUUGGUAUCUUAUUUGAAUUUUUUUAUCAUUUUUCAAAACAUUUCUUGAAAACAAUUUUCUUUAAGAUUCAAAAACUUGAUUGGUUUGCGAUUUAAAAUUUUUAAAUCUUACGAUUUAAAAGACAAAGAGAUCUAAAAGAGGGGGUCGGAAGAGAGAGAGAAAGAUGAGAGAUGAAGAAAUAAAGUAAGAGAUGAUUGAAGGAAAAAGAAAGAUGAGAGGGGAUCGGAUGAGAUACAGAGGAAGAGUAGUGAGAGAAAUAACCGAGAGAAUGAAGAGAGCGGAUUUGAGGAGAGACGAAAAAGGUAAAAAAAAAAGAGGAGAGAAAGAAGAAAAGAGAGAGAUAGAUUUGGAGUGAGAGGGAAGGAGGGAAAGAAAAGAAAGCAGUGAGUUUAAGUUUAAAAACUCUAAAAACUCAUUUUUUAUGUUUUUAGAGAAUAGACUAUAUUUUUGAGUUAGUCUUGAGUUCAAUUUUUGAAAAUAGUCCUACCAAACAAGUUUUUAAGGCCUAAAACUUGAAAAUUAUUUUUGAGUUUAAAAAGUUGGAUUCAAGUAGAGUACCAAACAUGCCCUUAUAUUUUUUCAGUAUUCAUAUGUGUGGUAAAAAAUUUAUUAAGUGAAAUAUAAUAAUAUUGAUAUUUUAAUAAACACAUGAAACUUAAAAAUCAAAAUUAUUUUCGAUAGGUAAUCUAUUUUUCUUUCAAAUAUUACAUAUUUCUUAAUUUUCCUCUUCUUGAUUAUGUAUGUUGCAAACGUGGAAAAAAAUGUAUUUGGUAACAAUACAGUUUGAUGUAAGUUGCAAACGUGGAAAAAAAAUGCUUCCUAUUAUUAAGGAAAUAUGGAUAUCAAUUGUGGAGAUAACUAACUGUUGACCCUAAAAACUACCAAGCCUACGUGGCGCGUAGGCUGAGUAAUCUAUGAGCUAACUACGUCAUUUGGUUGUAUGCGGGGAGUGCCAACUCGUCGGCCGAGCUCGGUCGAGGAGUAAAAUAUGUUGAUGUUGCGUUAGGUGCGCGGUUGACUUCUGCGUCUUACGAUUGCAACCAAGGAAGGAACACGUCUCGGCCUCUUGAGUUCUUGAACCUGAAGACAAGGCUACUAUUCUUACGAAGUUCACAAAUCGUCGUCGUCAGAUUCGGUCACAGUGAUGGUAUUCAUCAGAGUGAACUCACGCCGAAUCGACACCAAAGUGUAAGGGCACAAAUACUCAAAGCAAAUAUAAGUCUUAACAAUAAAUGUGGUUCAGCCGUCGGAAUGCCGAACUCUAAAUCCUACUUGAGAGUAUCCAAUCAUAAAAUAACUCGGCAUGCAAUGUGCCGAGCCCAAUAAACUGUAACACCUCACUUCGCCGAAAAGGCUAAUGAGAUGACUUCGACCAAUAAGGAUUCAGAAAUUCUUCUCGACCGAGACUUGAAUAGAUAAUCAGUCGCCCUCGACGCAGUGCUGUUUAUGCCAACUGAAGAUGCGGCGAGCUCGGCUAGUUCUACGGUGACAAUGCUAUUUAUGCCAACUGAAGAUAUCACCGGUUGCCUUCACAGUGCUGUUCAUUCAAACUGAAGGUGUGGCGGCGAAAAGAGAAAAGAAAAAUCUCAAGGUUGUUGAGAGAAUUUGUGCAGGGCAGUUGUGUGUUGAAUUUGAGGGGGGUUGUUUCGAUGUCUUCUCUUCCUAUUUAUAGCAGCCAACCUGUAUUGAAUCCCAUUCAUUCCUGGAUUAGAACUCCUUCUCAUAAUCCAUCUUUAUCUCGACCAAUCAUAUUCCUACUAGGACUUUGAACACAACUCAUUAUCAAACCGUGUUCAAUCUCAGCAUCCUGAUCCCGUCGAGACUCCAUCUCAUAACAGGAUUCAUCCACAUUCCUCUUUCCGAUAGGAUAUGGCCUACUUCAACCGCUCGACCCAUGGGCUGAAUAUCUUCUAAUGACACCUGUUUAUAACUUCUGGGCCGAGGAUGAAUCUAACCUCGGCCUAUCCCACACUGGGCCCAAAAAGAUCUAACUCAGCCCAAAACAAUAUUUUUGGGCCCAAACACUAACAUCUCACUUAUUUGAUGAAACUACUAUUACUGACAAAAACCAACUCUCCAUGAUAGAGGGAAAUUGGUGAAUGUUAAUCUAUAUAAGGACUCUCUGCUCGUAAAGAAAAGUUUUGCGUUAUUGGGUUCUAUCACCUUAAGAACAUUAAGUCUUUCAACGAGUAGAAGAUAUCAUUUUCCUGUUCUGCAAUGGCUACCUCAGGUAUCAUGUUGACAUAUGUUAGUAAUCUAGAAAACCUGUUAAUAUUAUGUACUCCUUGUUUUCCAACAUUUGGUAUUAGAGCCAAAUUAACAAAUCCUAGAUUCAAAUGUAUGUGUCGAACUGCAUAUGUUUUCAGCAUGUGAAUUUUUUUAUGAAAUGUGUUGAACCAAAGCACAUGACAGCAUCGGCGGCAGCACUUAUGCUUUCCAUUAUUCCAUCCGACAACACAUGACAGCACCAAUACUUCCAAUAAAAUGCAUGAGGUAGUCUUGCCUCAUAAGUUUUUUAAUAUCAUGCAACACUUACGAUAAUAUUUUGAAUUCACCAAAGUGAAUGAUUUGGAUGUAUAUUCUGGCAAAGAAGGGUUUAAAGAUUCAUUGCAUAUUCAUACUAUUUUCCAAAUGAAAGUAUAUAAAAUGCGUAAGGUUUCAAUGAAUCAUUCCUUGUAUAAUCUUGUAAUUAUCUUGUCCAAAGACUUGAUAUAUCUGUGCUAAAAGAUGAUUGAAGUGGUCAGAAUGUACAUGAUGACUUUGAAGGGGUGUUUAUAUUUCUAACCUAAGAGGGAUAUAUAAACACAUGCAAGUGAUGCAUGAAAUUAAAAUUGUAUUUAAUGUUUUAUUUGGCUGCCUCAGCAACAUCAUCUGCACUUAGCCUUUCAUCGAUCGAGCCUCUUAAUGGGGGAAACUUUAAAUUGGUGGUAGUUUUAAUCAAUGUAUGGUAUCAUGUAGAUCAGGUAAUAUUCUUGUCCAAAGACUUGUAAUAAAUGCAUGAUAAGAUUCUUGAAUGAUGGCUAUACAAUGAAGGUCAAUGGCAGCUUAUAUCUCUUGCCCAAAGGUGUGAUAUAAACAUGCAUUUAACAAUCACUAAUGGUUGUUUCAAGUUUUUCAUGUCUUCAACAGCCAAAUUUUUAUUCACUGCAAGAAAAGGAAAGUCAAAGGCUCUUCUUGAUGGGUGUAGAGGUUGCGUACACCCAAGCGCACCAGAUUGUAAGUAUCACUAAAUUUUGAUGUAUUUAUGAGUGAUUUAAUCUAAUUGGCAUCUGAAUUUUGAUGGAAUCAACCUAUCACUAUUUUGGUUUAAUCUGAUCCAAAACCCCUUAGUUUUCUUGUUAUCAAGUUAUCAAUUGCUCAAAAAUUGUAUGUGUGUGAGUAACUGAAGUGAAAAAUAGAAAUACUUGAUAUCGUUUUGUAGUGCAUGUAAUUGAUUCAUCUAUGGGAGUAAGAAUCAUACAUGUUAUUUCUAUAUGUGAUUGAUGCCUGACAUAACCCUUACAUGGGUAAGUCUGUUGCCUUUGAUUUCCAUUUGAAUGGGUAAAGUAAAUUCAUGUAAAUCAAGUUCUUAGCCUGCUGUGCUCUAUGAUAAUGUAUAGUUAAUAUAUAUUAACUGAAUUGAAUAGCCAUAUUAUUGGUUGCUGUGGGAAAUAAUCAAUAUGGAUUAAAAAUCUCGAGUUCUGCAAACAUGAAGCAAAAUUGACAUAUUGUGUGUUUAAAUAAGGAAUGAGUUGUCCUACAUUGCUUAAGCUUGAGAUGAACCAAUGCAAAGGCACAAAUAUAUGUAUAAAGUAUAACCUUGUAGUAUCAACUUGUGUACAAAUGUUUUUCACCAAAGUGAAGAGACUUCAGGAAAUGGAUUGUGUAAAUUAUGAAUUUAAAACUCAACACGUCAAUAUUCUUUUCCAAAGAGAGGAAUGUGUGAAUGGUUUGUGAUCUUUUAGGGUAUAACAUUUUUACGGCUAUUGAAAUGUGGGAGUGCAUGAUAAGGAUGCCCACGUAGCAAACAUGGGUGUGCAUGAUGGUUUUGAAUCAACUGAAAUGUGGGAGUAAAGAAAGCGCUGCUGCGUAAUUUUGAUAGUAUCUGGACCUGAUGCUUGGCUUAUCUUAUUUUCCCUGUGGUUAUUGUAAAUAAUGCCAUGUUGAUUCAGUUUAUAAUAUAUAUUAGUACAACUAACUUAUGUUCCAAAGAGCAUGUUGGUUUUGUAUGAGUAUGCAGGAAGCUUGAAAAGCUAGUAUCCAGUGAUUAAGGUUGAAGGCAACAUAAAGUUAGCUUUAUAAAGGUACACUGGGUAAUUGCAUGUAUGAAUGUGUAGUAUUUGCAUGAUUGUCAGUAUGCCAUUACAAUUAUGAAGUGAUGGUUGAAGACUGAGUUGCAAUAAUAAAUAUGCAUGUGCUGAAUCUUUAUGAUUAUUCCGAGUUAUAUAGCUUAUAUAACACAAAGUGGUAUAUGAUUUUCAAUUCAGUAAAGGAACUGUGAUUAUCCAAAGAUGAUCCAUAAAGUUGAUUGAAUUGAUUCAUAGAAAAAUGAAUGUUAAGUUCAUUGAAAGUUUGACAUCAUACAUAUUAGAUUCAAAUGACAGUGAUUUUAGAGUGCAUGUGCCAAUGAGCUGCACAUGGUUUUUUAGAGUUCGACAUUUGAACUAAUACUAGUAGAUGUGGGGAAGCAAGUUACGUGUAACUGGAUGUGAUCACUAAGGAGUCAAUAUUGUAAUUGUGAUAACAUUUCGAUGAAAUGAUUAGUUUACGUCCAAGUGGGAGAAUGCUAGAGACUUAAUUGGACUAAACUAUCAUUUAGUGAAGGACAACAUUUAUUUGGUAACAAUAUAGUUUGACGUAAGCUGCAAACAUGGAAAAAACUGCUUCCUAUUAUUAAGGAAAUAUGGAUAUCAAUUGUGGAGAUAACUAACAUCCCAAUUAUUUGAUGAAACUGCUGUUACUGACAAAAACCAACUCUCCAUGAUAGAGGGAACUUGGUGAAUGCUAACCUAUAUAAGGACUCCCUGCUUGUAAAGAAAAGUUCUGCGUUAUUGGGUUCUAUCACCUUAAGAACAUUAAGUCUUUCAACGAGUAGAAAAUAUCAUUUUCUUGUUCUGCAAUGGCUGUCUCAGGUAUCAUGUUGACAUAUGUUAGUAAUCUAGGAAACUUGUUAAUAUUAUGUACUCCUAGUUUUCCAACAGGUACUAUCUACACACUCUUAUUUUUACUUUUCACACCUUAUUAAUUUUGGUUCUUUGAUAUUUUAUUCUUCAAUUCAUUUGACCAGACUGUUGUAAAUUAAAAGUAUGUAAAAGGUAAUAAAGAAAAUGUAAAUACCAUUAUUCUUGAUUAUUCAAUACAAUGAUCAUAAAUAAAAUGUUGUAAGAAGCUAACAUCCACUUUUUAUGCAUGUUGAUAAUUACCCUUUUUCUUCCUUUCUUUUUUUUCUUUUUCGUUCUUUCCCCACAUUUUGGCCUCUAUUGCUCAACCUAUAGUCUGCAAGCCAAAAUGUUUUGCAACAACCAUUCAAACUGGUAUACUCAAGUUCAUAACCUUGGCGGCCUCCAGAUCGGAGUUUCAUAAAUCAUACAGAGAAGCAAGUAAACAUUCACUAACAAAUGACAUAGUCGUACAUUUAUUUAUUCACAAAUCGUAUUUAAUCUUAAUUUUGAUCCAACAUCAUUGCCCAAACCCACAUUUUGGCACUAAAAAGCUAAAGACUGACCUAAAAGAGCAGACACCAAAUUCUUAAUCAUUCUUUUCCCAUUCACACAGUCGAAACCAACCACAGGUCGGACUUUCAUCGAAAUUACUCACCGGAAAGUUUGCGGAGGCGAUGCCGACCGAUAAUUCUAGCUCAUCGUCGUCACGAGUCACUGAGACAAUGCUCAGCCACAGAAAGAGCACCCUAACUUCGAUGCCACUCAAGCUAGAGAUCUUGCCAGUGG
Molecule: long non-coding RNA, 8344 nt
Filed under: Malus domestica (apple)
Lineage: Eukaryota; Viridiplantae; Streptophyta; Magnoliopsida; Rosales; Rosaceae
Description: long non-coding RNA (MDOM_LNC003466)
Source: RNAcentral